AGUAACGCGUGGAUAACCUGCCUCACACUGGGGGAUAACAGUUAGAGAUGACUGCUAAUACCGCAUAAGCGCACAGUACCGCAUGGUACAGUGUGAAAAACUCCGGUGGUGUGAGAUGGAUCCGCGUCUGAUUAGCCAGUUGGCGGGGUAACGGCCCACCAAAGCGACGAUCAGUAGCCGACCUGAGAGGGUGACCGGCCACACUGGGACUGAGACACGGCCCAA
Molecule: ribosomal RNA, 225 nt
Filed under: uncultured bacterium
Lineage: Bacteria
Description: partial 16S ribosomal RNA
Rfam family: Bacterial small subunit ribosomal RNA
Source: RNAcentral